RNAcentral lists this ribosomal RNA (512 nucleotides) under uncultured bacterium. RNAcentral's name for it is "partial 16S ribosomal RNA". It matches the Rfam family "Bacterial small subunit ribosomal RNA", at positions 28 to 507 of the family's 1533-position model. The record is from RNAcentral.
GAUGAACGCUGGCGGCGUGCCUAAUACAUGCAAGUCUAACGAAACUUCUUUAUCACCGAGUGCUUGCGCUCACCGAUAAAGAGUUGAGUGGCGAACUGGUGAGUAACACGUGGGCAACCUGCCCACAAGAUGGGGAUAACACUUUGAAACAGGUGCUAAUACCGCAUAACCAUAGUUACCGCAUGGUAACUAUGUACAAGGUGGCUAUACUACCGCUUUUGUAUGUGCUCGCGGCGCAUUAGCUAGUUGGUAGGGUAAAGGCUUACCAAGGCAAUGAUGCGUAGCCGAAUUGAGAGGUUGAUCGGCCACAUUGGGACUGAGACACGGCACAAACUCCUACGGGAGGCAGCAGUAGGGAAUCUUCCACAAUGGGCGAAAGCCUGAUGGAGCAACGCCGCGUGGGUGAAGAAGGUCUUCGGAUCGUAAAACCCUGUUGUUAGAGAAGAAAGUGCGUGAGAGUAACUGUUCACGUUUCGACGGUAUCUAACCAGAAAGCCACGGCUAACUACGUG